This 350-nucleotide long non-coding RNA is filed under the name Gossypium barbadense (sea-island cotton). RNAcentral describes it as "long non-coding RNA (GBAR_LNC011909)". The record is from RNAcentral. Lineage: Eukaryota; Viridiplantae; Streptophyta; Magnoliopsida; Malvales; Malvaceae.
UUUAACACCAAGUCGUCAAUUUCUUCGCUAUAUUGGGUGAACAUCAAUCGACUUGUGUUAAAACGGUAUAUCCUUCUCAAAAAAAAAUCAAAAAGAUUGAAAAUUCUUGUCUUUUCAAACGGAUCACGAUUAAAUCCUAUAUUGAACUCGUAUCUUUAAAAAUCAAGACAACACGUGUUUAUAAGAUACCAAUUUUGGGCGUCGCGAGGGUGCUAAUACCUUCCUCGCGCGUAACCGACUCCCGAACCCUAAAUUUUCUCUGGAUUUUAAUGUAGACCUAAACUCAGCCUUUUAUUUGUUUUAAUAAGAGAUCUAAUAGGUGUCCGAUCACACUUAGGAAAAAGGAUCGG